RNAcentral lists this ribosomal RNA (415 nucleotides) under Exophiala eucalypticola. RNAcentral's name for it is "partial 18S ribosomal RNA". The stretch from base 61 to 365 matches the Rfam family "Group I catalytic intron". Rfam says of the family: Group I catalytic introns are large self-splicing ribozymes. They catalyse their own excision from mRNA, tRNA and rRNA precursors in a wide range of organisms. The core secondary structure consists of 9 paired regions (P1-P9). Lineage: Eukaryota; Fungi; Ascomycota; Eurotiomycetes; Chaetothyriales; Herpotrichiellaceae. The record is from RNAcentral.
ACGGGAGCGAUCCUUCCUGCAGUGAAACUUACAGAAGCCUUAGCAGCCCGAAAGGGUGCCCCUCCGCGACAGAAAACAAUGCCUGAGUGAGGAUAAUUGCUAGUCGACACCUCGGUGUCGGCAACAUCGUCAAAUUGCGGGAACCUCCUAAAGCUUUUAGCUACCAAGCAGUGCGGGAAACCUCACUGUGGCCAGGGUAAUGACCUCGGGUACGGUAACAACGCUAAAGAUACUACAAUGGACGAUCCGCAGCCAAGUCCUAACGACCCCCCCGGGGUACGGAUGCUGUUCACAGGCCAAAUGAUGAUGGGUAGCCCCGCGAGGGGCUGCUUAAGAUAUGGUCGGGCCCCCGGGGAAACCCAGGGGGAAAUUCACUACAAGCCGUUCCGUAGGUGAACCUGCGGAAGGAUCAUUA